CGUGUUCAAUCCUGUUGGUAUCGUUUGUGUUUGGCCGUGGUGUUGAACGAGAUUAAAAAAAAAAUCGCGAGUGAAUGUGAAAAAGUCACCUCCGGCGUCAAAUCCGCCGGGUUAUCGAUCCGGAACAGCUCUGGGAAGGCGGAAACUUUACAGAUUUUGGGACUUCUUUUACCAUUCGAUUCCGGGACCAAACUCAACAGAGGCUCUCGAAUCGAAAGCAGGUUCGGCCGACGUCGAGGCGUGGCCUCCAGGACAAAAGACAGCUGGCAAGGUGCUAAACGCGUUCCCAGUUGGUUGGACCGUUCUGCCGAGUGACGGAUCCGGAAUGUUGAUGGGAGUUCUAAUUUUUCUGCAACUUGGGAACUAUUUCGAUCGUGGAUUGCGUAUGGUCCACGUGCUGCCGGGGGUUCUAGUCCGGCCACAAUUUACAAGAAGGAGGAACACCACCGCACUCGGGUCAGCUGAUGACCAAGGGUACACACUCCCAGCUCAGUUUGAUAUUGGCCCGACGGCAGUCCGAUUUGUCGUGGUUGGAUACAGAAAGUGCGCGAAAAGGUGUAAUGGAGUCUCGUAGUUCCUGUGAAAGUUCUAUCCAGCAAGAGGUCGAAAUCGGCCGGAGUCUACGUCCGAGUACAAAUUUAACGACGACGUGCAGGGUGUCCGACGAA
Molecule: long non-coding RNA, 668 nt
Organism: Culex quinquefasciatus (southern house mosquito)
Lineage: Eukaryota; Metazoa; Arthropoda; Insecta; Diptera; Culicidae
Exons: 3
Source: RefSeq, a predicted model, not a curated record